Molecule: ribosomal RNA, 515 nt
Filed under: uncultured bacterium
Lineage: Bacteria
Description: partial 16S ribosomal RNA
Rfam family: Bacterial small subunit ribosomal RNA
Source: RNAcentral
GAUGAACGCUGGCGGCGUGCCUAAUACAUGCAAGUCGAGCGAAUGGAUUGAGAGCUUGCUCUUAUGAAGUUAGCGGCGGACGGGUGAGUAACACGUGGGUAACCUGCCCAUAAGACUGGGAUAACUCCGGGAAACCGGGGCUAAUACCGGAUAACAUUUUGAACCGCAUGGUUCGAAAUUGAAAGGCGGCUUCGGCUGUCACUUAUGGAUGGACUCGCGUCGCAUUAGCUAGUUGGCGAGGUAACGGCUCACCAAGGCAACGAUGCGUAGCCGACCUGAGAGGGUGAUCGGCCACACUGGGACUGAGACACGGCCCAGACUCCUACGGGAGGCAGCAGUAGGGAAUCUUCCGCAAUGGACGAAAGUCUGACGGAGCAACGCCGCGUGAGUGAUGAAGGCUUUCGGGUCGUAAAACUCUGUUGUUAGGGAAGAACAAGUGCUAGUUGAAUAAGCUGGCACCUUGACGGUACCUAACCAGAAAGCCACGGCUAACUACGUGCCAGCCGCCGCCGUAA